GAUGAACGCUGGCGGCGUGCUUAACACAUGCAAGUCGAACGGAAAGGCCCAAGCUUGCUUGGGUACUCGAGUGGCGAACGGGUGAGUAACACGUGGGUGACCUGCCCUUCACUUCGGGAUAAGUCUGGGAAACUGGGUCUAAUACCGGAUAGGACCACCUUCUGGAUGGUGGGGGGGAAAGUUUUUCGGUGUGGGGUGAGCUCGCGGCCUAUCAGCUUGUUGGUGGGGUAAUGGCCUACCAAGGCGUCGACGGGUAGCCGGCCUGAGAGGGUGUACGGCCACAUUGGGACUGAGAUACGGCCCAGACUCCUACGGGAGGCAGCAGUGGGGAAUAUUGCACAAUGGGCGCAAGCCUGAUGCAGCAACGCCGCGUGGGGGAUGACGGCCUUCGGGUUGUAAACUUCUUUCGCUAGGGACGAAGCGCAAGUGACGGUACCUGGUGAAGAAGCACCGGCUAACUACGUG
RNAcentral lists this ribosomal RNA (465 nucleotides) under uncultured bacterium. RNAcentral's name for it is "partial 16S ribosomal RNA". It matches the Rfam family "Bacterial small subunit ribosomal RNA", at positions 28 to 507 of the family's 1533-position model. The record is from RNAcentral.